RNAcentral lists this ribosomal RNA (467 nucleotides) under uncultured bacterium. RNAcentral's name for it is "partial 16S ribosomal RNA". It matches the Rfam family "Bacterial small subunit ribosomal RNA", at positions 29 to 507 of the family's 1533-position model. The record is from RNAcentral.
ACGAACGCUGGCGGCGUGCUUAACACAUGCAAGUCGCACGGAAAGGCCCUGCUUUUGUGGGGUGCUCGAGUGGCGAACGGGUGAGUAACACGUGAGUAACCUGCCCUUGACUUUGGGAUAACUUCAGGAAACUGGGGCUAAUACCGGAUAGGAGCUCCUGCUGCAUGGUGGGGGUUGGAAAGUUUCGGCGGUUGGGGAUGGACUCGCGGCCUAUCAGCUUGUUGGUGGGGUAGUGGCUUACCAAGGCUUUGACGGGUAGCCGGCCUGAGAGGGUGACCGGCCACAUUGGGACUGAGAUACGGCCCAGACUCCUACGGGAGGCAGCAGUGGGGAAUAUUGCACAAUGGGCGGAAGCCUGAUGCAGCAACGCCGCGUGCGGGAUGACGGCCUUCGGGUUGUAAACCGCUUUCGCCUGUGACGAAGCGUGAGUGACGGUAAUGGGUAAAGAAGCACCGGCUAACUACGUG